GGGUCAGUAGGUUGGUCGUGCCACCGGUACGUACUGGUCUCACUGAUUCCUCCUUCCUGAGGAACCGUAAUGCCAUUAAUUUGGUGUUGCGGGGAAACAGGACUGUUACUUUGAAAAAAUUAGAGCGUUUAAAGCAAGCUAACGCUUGAAUACAUUAGCAUGGAAUAAUGAAAUAGGACGAUCGAUCCUAUUUUGUUGGUUUCUAGGAUUGACGUA
This 216-nucleotide ribosomal RNA is filed under the name Glomeromycotina sp. RNAcentral's name for it is "partial small subunit ribosomal RNA". The stretch from base 75 to 216 matches the Rfam family "Eukaryotic small subunit ribosomal RNA", at positions 721 to 864 of the family's 1831-position model. Lineage: Eukaryota; Fungi; Glomeromycota. The record is from RNAcentral.